GACGAACGCUGGCGGCGUGCUUAACACAUGCAAGUCGAACGGAAAGGCCCUGCUUUUGUGGGGUGCUCGAGUGGCGAACGGGUGAGUAACACGUGAGUAACCUGCCCUUGACUUUGGGAUAACUUCAGGAAACUGGGGCUAAUACCGGAUAGGAGCUCCUGCUGCAUGGUGGGGGUUGGAAAGUUUCGGCGGUUGGGGAUGGACUCGCGGCUUAUCAGCUUGUUGGUGGGGUAGUGGCUUACCAAGGCUUUGACGGGUAGCCGGCCUGAGAGGGUGACCGGCGACAGUGGGACUGAGAGAAGUGCCAGAGACCGACGGGAGGCAGAGGGGGGGAAGAGGGCACAAGGGCCGGAAGCCUGAAGCAGCUACGGCGCGUGCGGGAUGGCGGGCGACGGGAAGGAAAAGGCUUUCGGCUGGGAAGUAGGGAGGGUGACGGGAAGUAGUAGAAAAGCACAGGAUAAGUACGUG
This 468-nucleotide ribosomal RNA is filed under the name uncultured bacterium. RNAcentral's name for it is "partial 16S ribosomal RNA". It matches the Rfam family "Bacterial small subunit ribosomal RNA", at positions 28 to 507 of the family's 1533-position model. The record is from RNAcentral.